CAAUAGCGUAUAUUAGAGUUGUUGCAGUUAAAAAGCUCGUAGUUGGAUUUGUGGCGUACGGUGGGUUCCGGGCACUUGUUGUCUGAGUAACUUGCUGUUGCCAUCCUUGGGUGGAACCUGUGUGGCAUUAGGUUGUCGUGCAGGGGAUGCCCAUCAUUUACUGUGAAAAAAUUAGAGUGUUCAAAGCAGGCUUAUGCCGUUGAAUAUAUUAGCAUGGAAUAAUGAGAUAGGACUUUUUUGCUAUUUUGUUGGUUUGCGCAAAGAGGUAAUGAUUAAUAGGGACAGUUGGGGGUAUUCGUAUUCCAUUGUCAGAGGUGAAAUUCUUGGAUUUUUGGAAGACGAACUACCGCGAAAGCAUUUACCAAGGAUGUUUUCAUUAA
Molecule: ribosomal RNA, 380 nt
Filed under: uncultured eukaryote
Lineage: Eukaryota
Description: partial 18S ribosomal RNA
Rfam family: Eukaryotic small subunit ribosomal RNA
Source: RNAcentral